Molecule: non-coding RNA, 5181 nt
Organism: Phalacrocorax carbo (great cormorant)
Lineage: Eukaryota; Metazoa; Chordata; Aves; Suliformes; Phalacrocoracidae
Source: RefSeq, a predicted model, not a curated record
ACCGCCACCCACCGCCCCGCUGGCUGGAGCCUCACCGCCCGGCGCGGCGGCAGCCCGGGCACGCGUUGCCCGCGGGCCCGCCUUUUGGAAUUCAAACUACUUGAAACGCAUUCCGAGUGGAGACGGACGAGUUUGGGGCGACUUUGCACACCUCCGCUUCACGGACAACCCUGUCCUCGCCGUGCUCUUUCUGCCGCAGUACGAAAGCGACAGAGGAAGCCGAACGCGGCCGCCGAGGAAACGUGCCGCUCCGAGCCCCGCCGCGGGGUGCCGACGGGCCGCCCGCCCCACAGCCCGGCUCCAGCCCUCAGCCCGCCCACUCCCCAGCGCCCGCAGCUCCUCCCCCGUCUGGCGGCUGUUGCCUGCCUGCCCGCCCGCCCGCCACGACGCCCUGGCUGCCGCAGCUUCUCCGCUCUGCUUGACAGGGGCGAACAAAGGCCGCCGCGCCCGCCGUCCCCCUCCUCGCAGCGGGGCCUUGGCGGUUCCGCACAGGCAGCGCCGGUAGGAGAAGCCGCCGCCCCGCCGCAGCGACCUGCGGCCCUCGGAGCGCCGGCAGGGCUUACAGUUUUCUGAAGUGGAGCCUGCCGUGCAUUUUGAGUCAACAACCAAAGUUUUCAGGUAUUCCAUGCAGUAUUAAGCGAAUGUUUGGGUAGGAAGAUGCAUUGCUUGUACGUCUCCAUUUAGGAGUCAGACUGAAGAAUAAUGAUUUAAAGUGACUGACAUCAUGACAACCAUAAGACAGAGAAGGGUUGAAAAGGGCACAGAAGCAGCUGAAGAUCAGCCUUCAGAGGAGAAGAAUGUGAAGCCUGAUGGGAAAAUUCUGCCUGGUCAUACAGGUGGAAAGCUCUGGAGCAUACUCUCAAUAACUGUUGGUGGAAUUGUUGCCAUCUCUCUUGGUCUUCUUACUUCUGUUUAUGUUGCUACACUGCAUGAAAAUGACCUGUGGUUUUCCAAUAUUAAGGAAGUUGAAAGAGAAAUUUCAUUCAGAACAGAAUGUGGACUUUAUUAUUCCUACUACAAAGAGAUGAUUCAGGCGGCUUCCAUCCAGCAAGGUUUACAUGGUUUAGUAUAUGACAAUAAAACUGAAUCUGUGAGGACAAUUAACAUACUUGAAAGAAUGAAUAUUUACCAGGAGGUGUUUCUCAGCAUUCUGUAUAGGAUUCUUCCAAUUCAGCAAUACCUAGAGCCUGUUUAUUUUUAUAUCUACACUUUGUUUGGACUUCAGGCAGUUUAUGUCAUUGCUCUGUAUGUAACAAGCUGGCUUCUUAGUGGAACGUGGCUUUCAGGGUUAUUGGCAGCUUGCUGGUAUAUUACAAACAGAAUAGAUACUACAAGAGUAGAAUUCACCAUUCCUUUGAGAGAGAACUGGGCACUGCCAUUCUUUGCUGUUCAGAUAGCAGCCAUCACAUACCUACUCAGAACUCAUUUACGGCCUGUUCAAGAAAGAUUGACACUUAUGGUUGUAUUCAUAGCAACGUUUCUCUUUAGCCUGACUUGGCAAUUUAAUCAGUUUAUGAUGCUGAUACAAGCAUUGGCAUUAUUCAUACUGGACUGUGUUGACAUGCUUCCCACAGCAAAGGUUACAUGGCUCUAUAUCAUUCAGAUUUCUGGAUUACUGCUAGUCUGUGUCCUACAGUUCUUUAAUUCUAUGAUUCUUGGAUCAUUACUUAUAAGUUUUAAUGCUUCUGUCUUGAUAGCACGAACAGUCCAGAAAAACCUAAAAAAGGGCAGGUUGCUUAAUAGGCUUGGGAAACUUAUCCUCCAUGUACUAUUAGUCUUGUGCUUGACUCUCCUAAUAAAUAAAUUCAUCAAGAAAAUUCUUAAUCUUGAAUCAGAUGAACAUAUAUUCAAAUUCCUGAAAGCAAAAUUUGGAUUUGGGGCAACGAGAGAUUUUGAUGCUAACCUAUAUCUUUGCGAAGAAGCUUUUGGUUUACUACCAUUAAAUACUUUUUCAAGACUCUCGGAUACAUUACUUUUUUACGUCUAUGUAUUUGUUCUCUUCUUUAUGACAAUAGCAGCUGUAAUUGUUGCCUUUCGGAACCUCAGUGAUUCAAAUCAAGUCCAGUUCAUGGCAAAAAUGGAAGAGUGCACAAUAACACUGAAGCCUGAUGCUGCUUACAACUUAAUUCACACAGUUCUUUUUGGAUGUCUGGCAUUAAGCACAAUGAGAAUGAAGUACCUCUGGACAUCCCACAUGUGUGUAUUUGCAUCUUUUGGCCUGUGCAGUACGGAAGUAUGGAAACUCACCCUGAGGUGUAUUCAUCUCUACACAUCACAGAGGACGCACAUGAUUAAGUAUUCUAUACCAAUAAUUACAUUACUGUACAUAUCAUAUAAGUUCUGGCCAGGAAUAAUGGAUGAACUGUCAGAGCUGAGAGAAUUCUAUGACCCAGACACUGUGGAGCUGAUGAACUGGAUUAAACAACAGGAACAACAUGCUCAUUUGUGAGAUGGGGAAGAAUAUCAGUAGAAUGAGCAAAACAAUAGCGUGAACUUCCCUACUCUGUUUACUUCUGAGAAGUGUCAUUCAGUGGUUUGAAGCACAUCAGCUGCCUUGGAUACAGACCACAGCAGUUAGUAUCUGACUCAGGUAGGAGUAUUAGAGAAAGACGCUUGCAUCGAAUGUAGAAAUCACCCUGUACCUGAAAAAUGUUAGUUAAUUGUCAUGUCUCCCUCUAGUGGCUGUUUUGGAAGAUAAACACUCAGUAAGGGCCGCCUGCUGAGAGUUCAAGAUGUAGUUAAGGAGGGCAGACAUUGCAUGAAGCUCAGCAUCACCUCCCAGCUUCCAAGUGUCUGUCCACAGCAGUGAAAUCCAGCGCCAGGUUUGUGCUCUAGGCAUUGCCAGUAAAGCAUGGGAAAAGAGUGCCUGCAGUAGCACUGAUAGUAGCACAUGCUGGUCUGGGAACUGUCUAAGCUGGCCCCAGUGAAGUACAGGCAGUGAUCUGUCUUAAGGUGUAUAAUUUUCUAGUACUUUAAACAUGUAAAUCUGUCUCAGGGAAACAUCUGCCUUCACCUGGAAUACCUGAUUUUGAACUCCAUCCAGGACCAAGGCACAUAAGCUGGUUUUUUGAAAGCAAGCAAGGGUCACUGGAUUGCUUUUAAGUUAUAGGAAGAGGAGGAAGUGCUGGCAAAACUUUUAAUACCUGAUAAAUAAAGAAUGCACUCAGCUAUAUUUGACCCCUUCUGGGCAAGAGUGAAAGCUUUUAGAAAGGGGAUGAAUUGAAUCCUGCAUCUUCUACAUUUUUGACAAGCAUUUUUACUACUAAGUUAUGGAAAAAGAGCGCUAUCACCAUUUCCUCUAGCUUUCUUUUAUAAGAAAAGAGGCUGCAGGCUGCUUCUUGGGAUUUUUUGUUGUUGUUGUUUUCUUGUGGUUUUGCCUUUGUUACUUUUUAGGGGGGGGAGGUUCAGAAAGUUUGAUUCUGCGAGUUUGCAUUAUAUUGGGCUCUUUAGGAAUCAGAAGUGCAGGAUUGCCUUGAUAAGACCAAGUCAGGGGAUAAGUACUGCAGAGCAUUAUAAAAUUUGAACAAAUCUUGAACAAACACAGAAACAGACUUCUCACAGUAGAAGUUUCCCAGCCCAGGCAUAAACCCAGAAACAUGUUGAAGAUGCUUCGAUAAUCAUAAUUUUCAUUUAGGUGUCUAAGCUCUACCAAGUCCCUUUGUGAAUCUAGUCCAUGUUCUUUUCAGCUUAUUCUAAAGAAUUGUGCUUUCCUGCAGAUUCAGGGAUGAGCCCUAGCUGAUAGCCUGUCAGGGCCAUUACAUUUGCAUAAUAUUAAAUUCUAAGAUGAAUUAAUUUCUUUUAAUGCAAUAUUUACUUUAUGACACUUGUGGCUUUGAAUAUAUCAAGUAAAAAAUAAAUUCUAAAAGAGACUUCCAGACCUCAGAAUGAAACUCGUUUUUUAAACUGCUGAAAAAACUAGUGUAUCAGUAAAGUUAAACUGGCCUAUAAAAAUACUACCUCUGUCCUUCCUACAUGAGAUUGAUGUACCAGCGCAAGAAUUUUUAGGAAGGGUUUCUAAUUAUUAGUUCCUUUGGUAAGCAUAAUCUCUUGAAAGGCGAUAGUAAAAUUUAAUACUUGUCUCUUAACAUUCGCAAGCUGAUCAUGGACCUUGACGAAGACUGAAUUCAUAGCUGCAGUUUCAAAAGGCUUCCUAAAGUGCACCCCAAAGUGUCAGUUAUUUGACUACUCUAGGUGCCAUAUGUGCAUGUGUGUGGAUGUUAGGCAACUAUUAACAUUCCUUCCUAAUUUCAUUUUUACAUGAUUUAACGUAUGCUUCUUUCUGUUGUUUUAGUCUUCAUGGAAAUUCUCAUGGUUAUAUGCCUACUAAGCGCUAGAAAACACUCAUACUCUGACCAUUUUUAAUUAGCCUAUUUACAGUAGUCUCUGUUGCCUGGCAUUUUUACUUUAUGUUUUUGCUAUGCCCGUCUGCUAUGCCUUUACAUAUAUUUUAGAUUGUAAACUUGUUGGGGAGAAGGUGUGCAAAACAUCAUUUAUUCAUUACGGGUAUUUAAACAAUCCUGAGAUACCAAGACUGUUAUUUAGAUAACAGUUCUAGACACUGGCUUUGAAUUUCAGGUGAGAUUACAGUACCAAUAAUUGACAACAGUUCUAUGUGGCAUCUUCUGCAUUCCCUGCCCUGCUUUUUGCAGCUGGGUUGACUUUUUUCAUAAUCGCCCUCCCACAGUUGUCAUAAUAGAGGUUUAAGGUCUCACAUAAGAGAGUUUUCAUUCCAAGUGAAUGGCGAAUGCUGGGGCAGUAACAAGAAGUUUUAGCAUUUGGAUUAAAUAAUCCAUUUUAUAUAGAAUGCCUUAUAUAUCAGACACAAAUCUAAGUCACAAUAGUUUCUUGAAAUAUUAGAAUAAUAAGGAUAUAGAAAUUUACAAAUAAUCAGAGGCUAUGUGAACCCAAGAAAUAUAUGAAAUGGGGAAGCAGUUUGAGAUCUUCAGGAUCAUGUUUUCCCUGAAUUUCCUUAUAGUGCACAGUAAAUCUUUUAUUUGCAGUUAGAGAGUAUUAUUGUGAUUUAUCGGCUUCAUAUUUGAAGAAAAUACAGUUGGUUGAACAGUUCGCUCCCUGAAUAGAGGAGAGGCAGAAAAAUAUUUUUUCAGUCUUUUUUUUCCUUCUGAUCUGUAACAAGCAAUGCAAAAAUGCCCCUAUGGAGACUUCUUCAGACUUACCAAUGUU